This 310-nucleotide ribosomal RNA is filed under the name uncultured eukaryote. RNAcentral's name for it is "partial 18S ribosomal RNA". It matches the Rfam family "Eukaryotic small subunit ribosomal RNA", at positions 1470 to 1796 of the family's 1831-position model. The record is from RNAcentral.
CCCUUAGAUGUCCUGGGCCGCACGCGCGCUACAAUGACUUAUUCAGAAAGUUUACCUGGUUCGGAAGAAUUCAGGGUAAUCUUUGUAAUACAAGUCGUGUUAGGGAUCGAUCUUUGCAAUUAUAGAUCUUGAACGAGGAAUGCCUAGUAAGCGCAGUUCAUCAGGCUGUGCUGAUUACGUCCCUGCCCUUUGUACACACCGCCCGUCGCUCCUACCGAUUUCGAGUGGUCCGGUGAACCAUCUGGAUUGGAUCGCAAGAUUCGAGAAGUUUAGUAAACCUUACCACUUAGAGGAAGGAGAAGUCGUAACA